Molecule: long non-coding RNA, 1121 nt
Filed under: Strigops habroptila (Kakapo)
Lineage: Eukaryota; Metazoa; Chordata; Aves; Psittaciformes; Psittacidae
Description: lncRNA (ENSSHBG00005015208.1)
Source: RNAcentral
UGCUGGGCAUAUAAAAUGUUAAAUGCUACUGGAUCAGCCUGGCAGUAUGGUAUGCUCCUUUAAGAGGACUGAAAGGAGGAGGAUGCUGGACAAUAAACACCUGCAAAUUUGUCAGGGAGGUGACACCAACCAGGAAAAGGCCAGGCUUUCAGAUGUACUGGUAGAGUGUUGUGCACACGCAAAUCACAGAAAAAAUGCUGGUAAGACUUAAGCCUCAGCAUAUGUGGUGUGGCAUGAUUAUAACCUGCCAAAUUCACAGGGAGGGCUUGCAUUCUAUUCCUGGCUACUGCAAAUAACCCUUGAAAUUGAGCAAGAAUGAGGCUAUACACUAUGUACUUAUCUCUUUUUUAACCUAGUUUACUUUCACAUUGUGGUUUUCAGCUUAACAGAAAAUUGCCACUAGCACUUCUGACCUCUGCAGAUUUUCCAUUUCCCUCAAGUGAGCAAACUAGCAGGCCAAGUCUAUAAAUAGAAAACGUUACACAAUUUAUUAAGACUGGAAUAAGUACCAUCAGGAGCUGCUAUAGGGAUAGAUUCUAAUAUAUAUAUAUUUAUUUCUACCACUAGAGGCCUGUAAUGUGCUGCAUAUUUUGCAAAAUUCACAUUAUCUGUUAGUGACACAACAGUACUAUGAGUACAAAUCUCCAUAAUGUUUUUAAAGAAGUUUCUAUAUAUUUAAUUUCAGCUUCUAAAGACAACUCUCUGCCAAUGACAGAACAAGUUCAAAUAAGCAAUUAUUCAGUGAUUUAAUACGAUCAUAAGAGAGGACCCUUACUGAUCGGAUACUAUUAUGCAUGUGAGCAACCUCAUCCUCAGCUCUCUUUAGAACUCAUGGACUGAUCCUUUGCGUAAUAUUGCUCAGAUUGGGAUUUACUGAACAGACACCCAGGCAGCUAGUUUCAAGUUAGGAGUAAAUAGACAUUUAGGAAUAAAUCUUCACAUCUAGUUUGUAUGUGCAUUUGAUUUGAAGAUAGAUCACAUCUGACAACUUCUCUGUUAUUGGUAGUCUGAAAAAAAGUACCUCACCUAUGCAUGAAUGCUAUACUUAAUGCUAUUAGAGAAACAUUCUUUUAUUCUAAAACAGUCAUGAAAUGGAUAGUAAAAAAAAAAUUAAAAAAAAA